Long non-coding RNA from Zalophus californianus (California sea lion), 810 nucleotides. RefSeq lists it as uncharacterized. The record is from RefSeq and is a predicted model, not a curated record. NCBI's taxonomy places the organism in Eukaryota, Metazoa, Chordata, Mammalia, Carnivora, Otariidae. The transcript is spliced from 3 exons.
AUUAGUUGGAGGAACUACUGCAGCUCAUAGGGUGUGGUAAAAUUAAAUAAAUAUUUAGAAAGAGCGCCCGGCAUAUAUUAGGUUACCAGCAGCAAUUAUCAUUAGGAUAAGGCCAGUUCAUGAUCUAUCAUUACUUUAAGCUCCAAAGAUAGGAAAACAACCUAAAAUGAUGACAUUAUAAGUAAAUGCAUAUGAUAAAGUAGGCAGAAGAACACAAUAGGAAACUAUAUAAAUCAAACUUCCUGGAUUUUAAAAAAAUGAAAUAAAUGAAGAGUCAGGUGCACAGGUUUAUAGGAACGGGCAAUGUUCUAGCUCUUUGAUUGGGGGAUGGGUACCCACAUAUGUAGUUUCCUUAAGCUGUGCAUAUAUGUCGUAUGUACCUCUGUUGGCAUGACCCGUUUCACACGCAAAAAUAUCUGAAGUUAAAAAAUCACAGGGAGUGAAGACACCAAGAUGCCUAAGAAGCAAGCUGCUAUGAAUCCUACAACCCCAGGAAACAGAAUGCUGCCAACAACCGCACAGGUUUAAAAAGCAAUUUCCUCCUCUCCUCACGCUAUAAAAGAGGAGCCUGCAUCUGGUAUCGAAUACACUGUUUACAGAAAGAAGACUCCACUUCUAGGCUGUUUGGACGUGCUCAUUCUUCCCUGCAUAAACUUACUCCACCUCUAUUUAUGCUAGACAGGAAGUAAACGUGCAAACGGAAUCAAUAAAAAGCAGCUGAAGGCACACAUUCUUUGACUCUAAUUAAGGUGGGAUGCCUGAAUCACAGCUGUUCCUACCACUGAAAAUGUUUUUGUAAUAAACAGUGGA